GACGAACGCUGGCGGCGUGCUUAACACAUGCAAGUCGAACGGAAAGGCCCUGCUUUUGUGGGGUGCUCGAGUGGCGAACGGGUGAGUAACACGUGAGUAACCUGCCCUUGACUUUGGGAUAACUUCAGGAAACUGGGGCUAAUACCGGAUAGGAGCUCCUGCUGCAUGGUGGGGGUUGGAAAGUUUCGGCGGUUGGGGAUGGACUCGCGGCUUAUCAGCUUGUUGGUGGGGUAGUGGCUUACCAAGGCUUUGACGGGUAGCCGGCCUGAGAGGGUGACCGGCCACAUUGGGACUGAGAUACGGCCCAGACUCCUACGGGAGGCAGCAGUGGGGAAUAGUGCACAAUGGGCGGAAGCCUGAUGCAGCAACGUCGCGUGCGGGAUGACGGCCUUCGGGUUGUAAACCGCUUUCGCCUGUGACGAAGCGUGAGUGACGGUAAUGGGUAAAGAAGCACCGGCUAACUACGUG
RNAcentral lists this ribosomal RNA (468 nucleotides) under uncultured bacterium. RNAcentral's name for it is "partial 16S ribosomal RNA". It matches the Rfam family "Bacterial small subunit ribosomal RNA", at positions 28 to 507 of the family's 1533-position model. The record is from RNAcentral.